RNAcentral lists this ribosomal RNA (888 nucleotides) under uncultured bacterium. RNAcentral describes it as "bacterial SSU rRNA". It matches the Rfam family "Bacterial small subunit ribosomal RNA", at positions 555 to 1457 of the family's 1533-position model. The record is from RNAcentral.
UGGGUUUAAAGGGUGCGUAGGCGGCUUUUUAAGUCAGUGGUGAAAUCCUGCCGCUUAACGGUAGAAUUGCCAUUGAUACUGAAGAGCUUGAGUUCAGUUGAGGUAAGCGGAAUGUGUAGUGUAGCGGUGAAAUGCUUAGAUAUUACACAGAACACCAAUUGCGAAGGCAGCUUACUAAACUGACACUGACGCUGAUGCACGAAAGCGUGGGGAGCGAACAGGAUUAGAUACCCUGGUAGUCCACGCCGUAAACGAUGUUCACUCGCUGUUUGCGAUACACAGCAAGCGGCCAAGCGAAAGCAUUAAGUGAACCACCUGGGGAGUACGAUCGCAAGGUUGAAACUCAAAGGAAUUGACGGGGGCCCGCACAAGCGGAGGAACAUGUGGUUUAAUUCGAUGAUACGCGAGGAACCUUACCUGGGCUUAAAUGUAGAACGACAGAUUGUGAAAGCAGUCCUUCUUCGGACGUUUUACAAGGUGCUGCAUGGUUGUCGUCAGCUCGUGCCGUGAGGUGUCGGGUUAAGUCCCAUAACGAGCGCAACCCUUAUCGUUAGUUGCCAGCGGGUCAUGCCGGGGACUCUAGCGAGACUGCCACCGUAAGGUGUGAGGAAGGUGGGGAUGACGUCAAAUCAGCACGGCCCUUAUGUCCAGGGCUACACACGUGUUACAAUGGCCGGUACAAAGGGCAGCUACUUCGCGAGAAGAUGCUAAUCUCGAAAGCCGGUCUCAGUUCGGAUCGAAGUCUGCAACCCGACUUCGUGAAGCUGGAUUCGCUAGUAAUCGCAUAUCAGCCAUGAUGCGGUGAAUACGUUCCCGGGCCUUGUACACACCGCCCGUCAAACAAUGGAAGCUGGGGGUACCUGAAGUCUGUAACCGAAAGGAGCGGCC